GUGCUCGGCUUGGCCAGCACAUAUACUAAAAUUGGAACGAUACAGAGAAGAUUAGCAUGGCCCCUGCACAAGAUGACAUGCAAAGUAGUGAAGCGUUCCAUAUUUAA
Small nuclear RNA from Cavia porcellus (domestic guinea pig), 107 nucleotides. NCBI's taxonomy places the organism in Eukaryota, Metazoa, Chordata, Mammalia, Rodentia, Caviidae. The record is from Ensembl.